Dipodomys ordii (Ord's kangaroo rat) is the source of this 72-nucleotide non-coding RNA. The record is from Rfam. NCBI's taxonomy places the organism in Eukaryota, Metazoa, Chordata, Mammalia, Rodentia, Heteromyidae.
GGGAAGCUGGCUCAGUGGAAGAGUGCUUGCCUUGCAUGCAUGAGGUCCUGGGUUCAAUUCCUCAGUAUCACA